Molecule: ribosomal RNA, 363 nt
Filed under: Triticum aestivum (bread wheat)
Lineage: Eukaryota; Viridiplantae; Streptophyta; Magnoliopsida; Poales; Poaceae
Description: partial small subunit ribosomal RNA
Source: RNAcentral
AUGGUAAAUUCUCAUAUCAUUUAUUUUAUUUCAUUAUUGCACUCUACAUUACAUACUAUGCACGAGCACUUUGGUAGAGGUGACGAGUUCGCAUCAUACAGAGAGACCAACCAUGUUUCUCCGAAUAUCUUGAAUCAUGAUCCUUAUGACUUCGUCUCUACUUCUAUACUACUUAUAAAAGAGCAAGCAUUAUCUUCUCUAAGUGCACCCCACAAAACGUACACGGAUACAUUACCACCGCAUUUUUUUUGUCUUGUUUCACAGCUGAUUCUAUGCAGUCAAGACAUCUCUACACUUCUCUAUCUAAUAAUGGCUUCCUCUUUUCAACAAACCAUAGAGGUCUCUUCCUACUAUUGUGGUUGA